CCCUGGUGGUCAGUGGUACAGUCAGUAUCUAUUCCCUGGUGGUCAGUGGUAUAGUCAGUAUCUAUUCCCUGGAGGUCAGUGGUACAGUCAGUAUCUAUUCCCUGGAGGUCAGUGGUAUAGUCAGUAUCUAUUCCCUGGAGGUCAGUGGUAUAGUCAGUAUCUAUUCCCUGGAGGUCAGUGGUACAGUCAGUAUCUAUUCCCUAGUGGUCAGUGGUAUAGUCAGUAUCUAUUCCCUGGAGGUCAGUGGUACAGUCAGUAUCUAUUCCCUAGUGGUCAGUGGUAUAGUCAGUAUCUAUUCCCUGGAGGUCAGUGGUACAGUCAGUAUCUAUUCCCUGGAGGUCAGUGGUACAGUCAGUAUCUAU
Molecule: long non-coding RNA, 362 nt
Organism: Bufo bufo (common toad)
Lineage: Eukaryota; Metazoa; Chordata; Amphibia; Anura; Bufonidae
Exons: 3
Source: RefSeq, a predicted model, not a curated record